RNAcentral lists this ribosomal RNA (911 nucleotides) under Oidiodendron citrinum. Its description in RNAcentral is "LSU rRNA". It matches the Rfam family "Eukaryotic large subunit ribosomal RNA", at positions 36 to 964 of the family's 3401-position model. Lineage: Eukaryota; Fungi; Ascomycota; Leotiomycetes; Myxotrichaceae. The record is from RNAcentral.
UAGCAUAUCAAUAAGCGGAGGAAAAGAAACCAACAGGGAUUGCCUCAGUAACGGCGAGUGAAGCGGCAACAGCUCAAAUUUGAAAUCUGGCCCCCCUCGGGGUCCGAGUUGUAAUUUGGAGAGGAUGCUUCGGGUGUGGCCCCGGUCUAAGUUCCUUGGAACAGGACGUCACAGAGGGUGAGAAUCCCGUACGUGCCCGGUGGCCGCCCCCGUGUGAAGCUCCUUCGACGAGUCGAGUUGUUUGGGAAUGCAGCUCAAAAUGGGUGGUAAAUUUCAUCUAAAGCUAAAUAUUGGCCAGAGACCGAUAGCGCACAAGUAGAGUGAUCGAAAGAUGAAAAGCACUUUGGAAAGAGAGUUAAACAGUACGUGAAAUUGUUGAAAGGGAAGCGCUGGCAACCAGACUUGCGCGGGGUCGAUCAUCCGGUGUUCGCACCGGUGCACUCGGCCCCGCGCAGGCCAGCAUCGGUCUGGGCGGCUGGAUAAAGGCCUUGGGAAUGUGGCUCUCUUCGGGGAGUGUUAUAGCCCAAGGUGCAAUGCAGCCCGCCUGGACCGAGGACCGCGCUCCGGCUAGGAUGCUGGCGUAAUGGUUGUCAGCGACCCGUCUUGAAACACGGACCAAGGAGUCUAACAUCUAUGCGAGUGUUUGGGUGUCAAACCCAUACGCGUAAUGAAAGUGAACGGAGGUGAGAACCCUUAAGGGUGCAUCAUCGACCGAUCCUGAUGUCUUCGGAUGGAUUUGAGUAAGAGCAUAGCUGUUGGGACCCGAAAGAUGGUGAACUAUGCCUGAAUAGGGUGAAGCCAGAGGAAACUCUGGUGGAGGCUCGCAGCGGUUCUGACGUGCAAAUCGAUCGUCAAAUUUGGGCAUAGGGGCGAAAGACUAAUCGAACCAUCUAGUAGCUGGUUCCUGCCGA